CUGGCUUCAGAAAUAAAAUUUGCCUCUAAGAGGUCUUUUACAGCUUUCUCAGCAGCCUCCGCUUUUUCGGGAGACUGCCUACGCCUACGUUGCACUACGACACUAGCAAGUGGGUCGACAGUAAGUUGAUGGCAAGCAAUGUUUGGAUCCAGCCCGGGCAUGUCGGCAGCGUGCCAUGCGAACAAGUCAGCAUUUUCUCUAAGGCAGGCUUUCAGCUGGUUCC
RNAcentral lists this long non-coding RNA (223 nucleotides) under Trifolium pratense (red clover). RNAcentral describes it as "long non-coding RNA (TPRA_LNC006998)". The record is from RNAcentral. Lineage: Eukaryota; Viridiplantae; Streptophyta; Magnoliopsida; Fabales; Fabaceae.